GAAGGACUACCAGGUUAGGGGAGGACUGCCAGGUUAGGGGAAGGACUACCAGGUUAGGGGAGGACUACCAGGUUAGGGGAGGACUGCCAGGUUAGGGGAGGACUACCAGGGUAGGGUAGGACUACCAGGGUAGGGGUGGACUACCAGGGUAGGGGUGGACUACCAGGUUAGGGGAGGACUGCCAGGGUAGGGUGGGACUACCAGGGUAGGGUAGGACUUAAUACUGAGACGACCUCAAUCAUCUAAACUGGAACAACCAUCUCCCCUACCCUGCAGUAAAUCCAACUACUAGCAGAUUGG
This is a long non-coding RNA of Oncorhynchus tshawytscha (Chinook salmon), 300 nucleotides long. The record is from Ensembl. NCBI's taxonomy places the organism in Eukaryota, Metazoa, Chordata, Actinopteri, Salmoniformes, Salmonidae.